UCUCUAAAAAUAAAUAAAUAAAAUCUUGAUUAAAAAAUACAUAGCAAAAAAUUAAAACUAAAUAGGUUUGGAUAUCAAGUUGAGGAAAUCCACGAGACGUAGAGUUAAAAAUCAAAGAAGUGAAAAAAAUCAAAGAAGUAGAAAAGAGGAGAGAAAAGAGAUUUUAAAAACAAUAAUAAAUCUCACCCAAAAAACCCCAAAUAAAACCUUAAUGGGUCAGUCUAGGAAGUCUAAUGUAUAAAUAAAAGGAGUUACAGAAAGAGAAAAAGAACAAUACAGAGCAAAGGGAAUGAUCAAGGAAAUAAUUCAAGAACAUUUCCUGAAACUGAAGGACAUUAGUUUUCAUAUUGAUAGGACUCAUUGAAUAUUCAGCACAAUACCAAAACACUGGAAAUAAAGAGAAGAUCCUGAGUUUCCAGAGUGGAAAAAACAAGUCACAUAAAAGACUCAGAAUUACCUGGGACUUUCAAUGCACCAGAAGCUAGAAGGCAAUGGAACAAUGCCUCCAACAUCCUGGAGGAAAAUAAAUUUUAACCUAGAAUCCU
Molecule: long non-coding RNA, 545 nt
Organism: Phyllostomus discolor (pale spear-nosed bat)
Lineage: Eukaryota; Metazoa; Chordata; Mammalia; Chiroptera; Phyllostomidae
Exons: 2
Source: RefSeq, a predicted model, not a curated record